RNAcentral lists this ribosomal RNA (848 nucleotides) under uncultured archaeon. Its description in RNAcentral is "bacterial SSU rRNA". It matches the Rfam family "Archaeal small subunit ribosomal RNA", at positions 29 to 882 of the family's 1478-position model. The record is from RNAcentral.
GCUAUUGGAGUUCGAUUAAGCCAUGCGAGUCGAGAGUCUUAGGGACUCGGCGUACCGCUCAGUAACACGUGGGUAACCUGCCCUAUGCUGGGGAAUAACCUCGGGAAACUGAGAAUAAUGCCCCAUAGUCCACAAUGCCUGGAACGGUUUGUGGAUCAAAGCUCCGGCGGCAUAGGAUGGGCCUGCGGCGUAUCAGGUUGUAGGGGGUGUAACGUACCCUCUAGCCAUCAACGCGUACGGGUGUUGGGAGACAUAGCCCGGAGAUGGAUUCUGAGACACGGAUCCAGACCCUACGGGGUGCAGCAGGCGCGAAAACUUGGCAAUGCGAGAAAUCGUGACCAGGGAACUCCAAGUGGCUGGGGUAAGACCCAGUCUUUUCUUGACUCUUCAAAGGUCUUGGAAUAAGGGGUGGGUAAGGACGGUGCCAGCCGCCGCGGUAAUACCGGCGCCUCAAGUGGUAGUCGAUUUUAUUGGGCCUAAAACGUCCGUAGCCUGUUUGGUACAUUCGUGGGUAAAUCAACCAGCUCAACUGGUUGAAUUCUGCGAGCACGGCCAGACUUGGGACCGGGAGAGGUGUGGGGUACGCUCAGGGUAGGGGUAAAAUCCUGUCAUCCUGAGCGGACCACCUGUUGCGAAGGCGCCACACUAGAACGGAUCCGACGGUCAGGGACGAAGCCUAGGGGCACGAACCGGAUUAGAUACCCGGGUAGUCCUAGGUGUAAACGCUGUGGACUUGGUGUUGGGGACUCUCCGAGAUUCCUCAGUGCCGAAGCGAAGGUGAUAAGUCCACUGCCUGGGGAGUACGGUCGCAAGGCUGAAACUUAAAGGAAUUGGCGGGGGAGCACCGC